UAGCCGGACUGAGAGGUUGAACGGCCACAUUGGGACUGAGACACGGCCCAGACUCCUACGGGAGGCAGCAGUGGGGAAUAUUGCACAAUGGGGGAAACCCUGAUGCAGCGACGCCGCGUGGAGGAAGAAGGUCUUCGGAUUGUAAACUCCUGUUGUUGAGGAAGAUAAUGACGGUACUCAACAAGGAAGUGACGGCUAACUACGUGCCAGCAGCCGCGGUAAAACGUAGGUCACAAGCGUUGUCCGGAAUUACUGGGUGUAAAGGGAGCGCAGGCGGGAAGACAAGUUGGAAGUGAAAUCCAUGGGCUCAACCCAUGAACUGCUUUCAAAACUGUUUUUCUUGAGUAGUGCAGAGGUAGGCGGAAUUCCCGGUGUAGCGGUGGAAUGCGUAGAUAUCGGGAGGAACACCAGUGGCGAAGGCGGCCUACUGGGCACCAACUGACGCUGAGGCUCGAAAGUGUGGGUAGCAAACAGGAUUAGAUACCCUGGUAGUCCACACCGUAAACGAUGAUUACUAGGUGUUGGAGGAUUGACCCCUUCAGUGCCGCAGUUAACACAAUAAGUAAUCCACCUGGGGAGUACGACCGCAAGGUUGAAACUCAAAGGAAUUGACGGGGGCCCGCACAAGCAGUGGAGUAUGUGGUUUAAUUCGACGCAACGCGAAGAACCUUACCAAGUCUUGACAUCCUGCGACGAUGCUGGAAACAGUAUUUUCCUUCGGGACGCAGAGACAGGUGGUGCAUGGUUGUCGUCAGCUCGUGUCGUGAGAUGUUGGGUUAAGUCCCGCAACGAGCGCAACCCUUAUGGUCAGUUACUACGCAAGAGGACUCUGGCCAGACUGCCGUUGACAAAACGGAGGAAGGUGGGGAUGACGUCAAAUCAUCAUGCCCUUUAUGACUUGGGCUACACACGUACUACAAUGGCGUUAAACAAAGAGAAGCAAGACCGCGAGGUGGAGCAAAACUCAGAAACAACGUCCCAGUUCGGACUGCAGGCUGCAACUCGCCUGCACGAAGUCGGAAUUGCUAGUAAUCGUGGAUCAGCAUGCCACGGUGAAUACGUUCCCGGGCCUUGUACACACCGCCCGUCACACCAUGAGAGCCGGGGGGACCCGAAGUCGGUAGUCUAACCGCAAGGAGGACGCCGCCGAAGGUAAAACUGGUGAUUGGGGUGAAGUCGUAACAAGGUAGCCGUAGGAGAACCUGCGGCUG
RNAcentral lists this ribosomal RNA (1211 nucleotides) under metagenome. RNAcentral describes it as "bacterial SSU rRNA". It matches the Rfam family "Bacterial small subunit ribosomal RNA", at positions 284 to 1520 of the family's 1533-position model. The record is from RNAcentral.